RNAcentral lists this non-coding RNA (135 nucleotides) under uncultured Rhodobacter sp. Lineage: Bacteria; Pseudomonadati; Pseudomonadota; Alphaproteobacteria; Rhodobacterales. The record is from RNAcentral.
UGUUGCGCGGGGUGUAGUUCAAAAAGACGAAGCCGCGCGUCUGAUCGAUGAUGUGGAACAGCGGAUUCCACCAGAACAUCGCCAGCAUCGUGCUGGACAAAGUAUUGGCAAGGAACAUCUUGCCGGAAAACAGCA